GGGGUUGUGGCUCAGUGGUAGAGCACUUGCCUAGGAUGUGCAAGGUGCUGGGUUUGAUCCUCAGCACCA
This 69-nucleotide transfer RNA is filed under the name Urocitellus parryii (Arctic ground squirrel). RNAcentral describes it as "Spermophilus parryii (Arctic ground squirrel) tRNA". It matches the Rfam family "tRNA". Rfam says of the family: Transfer RNA (tRNA) molecules are approximately 80 nucleotides in length. Their secondary structure includes four short double-helical elements and three loops (D, anti-codon, and T loops). Further hydrogen bonds mediate the characteristic L-shaped molecular structure. tRNAs have two regions of fundamental functional importance: the anti-codon, which is responsible for specific mRNA codon recognition, and the 3' end, to which the tRNAs corresponding amino acid is attached (by aminoacyl-tRNA synthetases). tRNAs cope with the degeneracy of the genetic code in two manners: having more than one tRNA (with a specific anti-codon) for a particular amino acid; and 'wobble' base-pairing, i.e. permitting non-standard base-pairing at the 3rd anti-codon position. The record is from Rfam by way of RNAcentral. RNAcentral also lists the same sequence under 1 other name. Lineage: Eukaryota; Metazoa; Chordata; Mammalia; Rodentia; Sciuridae.